CUAAAUAUAGUGAAAACAGGUGAUCCUGUUCUUACGGCAUAUUUGGAUCUCAAAAGAGAAGAUUGGUGCAAAUCCAACACGCUCCCGCCACUAUAUGCUAACGAUUAAGCUGCAUAUUGCAGACGAAUAUCUGCUUGUUGAACAUACUCAUC
RNAcentral lists this non-coding RNA (152 nucleotides) under Paenibacillus antarcticus. Lineage: Bacteria; Bacillati; Bacillota; Bacilli; Caryophanales; Paenibacillaceae. The record is from RNAcentral.